RNAcentral lists this ribosomal RNA (254 nucleotides) under uncultured bacterium. RNAcentral describes it as "partial 16S ribosomal RNA". It matches the Rfam family "Bacterial small subunit ribosomal RNA", at positions 524 to 776 of the family's 1533-position model. The record is from RNAcentral.
GACAGAGGGGGCAAGCGUUGCUCGGAAUUACUGGGCGUAAAGGGCGCGUAGGCGGGAUGGCAAGUCGGUCGUGAAAUCCCUCGGCUCAACCGAGGAACGUCGAUCGAUACUGCUGUUCUUGAGGAUUGCAGAGGAGACUGGAAUUCCCGGUGUAGCGGUGAAAUGUGUAGAGAUCGGGAGGAACACCGGUGGCGAAGGCGGGUCUCUGGGCAAUUCCUGACGCUGAGGCGCGAAAGCGUGGGGGAGCAAACAGG